RNAcentral lists this ribosomal RNA (254 nucleotides) under uncultured bacterium. RNAcentral's name for it is "partial 16S ribosomal RNA". It matches the Rfam family "Bacterial small subunit ribosomal RNA", at positions 524 to 776 of the family's 1533-position model. The record is from RNAcentral.
UACAUGGGGUGCAAACGUUGCUCGGAAUUAUUGGGCGUAAAGCGCACGUAGGCGGUUCGUUAAGUCGGAUGUGAAAGCCCUCGGCUCAACUGAGGAAGUGCACCCGAAACUGGCGAGCUUGAGUACGAAAGAGGAUCGCGGAAUUCCCGGUGUAGAGGUGAAAUUCGUAGAUAUCGGGAGGAACACCGGUGGCGAAGGCGGGUCUCUGGGCCGAUACUGGACGCUGAGGAGCGAAAGCGUGGGGAGCGAACAGG